UACAGAGGGGGCAAGCGUUGUUCGGAAUUACUGGGCGUAAAGGGCGCGUAGGCGGCCUGUUAAGUCGAACGUGAAAUCCCCGGGCUCAACCCGGGAACUGCGUCCGAUACUGGCAGGCUUGAAUCCGGGAGAGGGAUGCGGAAUUCCAGGUGUAGCGGUGAAAUGCGUAGAUAUCUGGAGGAACACCUGCGGUGUAGACGGGUUGCUAGGCUGACACUGACGCUGAGGCGCGAAAGCCAGGGGAGCAAACGGG
This 253-nucleotide ribosomal RNA is filed under the name uncultured bacterium. RNAcentral describes it as "partial 16S ribosomal RNA". It matches the Rfam family "Bacterial small subunit ribosomal RNA", at positions 524 to 776 of the family's 1533-position model. The record is from RNAcentral.